UACAGAGGUGGCGAGCGUUGUUCGGAUUUACUGGGCGUAAAGGGUGCGUAGGUGGUUUAGUGUGUCGGGCGUGAAAUCCCACUGCUCAACGGUGGAACGCCGUCCGAAACUACUUGACUUGAGUGCAGGAGAGGAGAGCGGAAUUCUUGGUGUAGCGGUGGAAUGCGUUGAUAUCAAGAAGAACACCGGUGGCGUAGGCGGCUCUCUGGAAUGCAACUGACACUGAGGCACGAAAGUUGGGGGAGCAAACAGG
RNAcentral lists this ribosomal RNA (253 nucleotides) under uncultured bacterium. RNAcentral's name for it is "partial 16S ribosomal RNA". It matches the Rfam family "Bacterial small subunit ribosomal RNA", at positions 524 to 776 of the family's 1533-position model. The record is from RNAcentral.